MicroRNA precursor from Gorilla gorilla gorilla (western lowland gorilla), 86 nucleotides. The record is from Ensembl. NCBI's taxonomy places the organism in Eukaryota, Metazoa, Chordata, Mammalia, Primates, Hominidae.
GUAUUAGCUUGGUGCAAAUGUAAUUGCGGUUAGUGCUAUUACUUUUAAUGGUAAAAACUGCAAUUACUUUUGCACCAACUGAAUAU